GUGCGCGGCGGGAGGGCGAGGGGGGCGCAGAGAGAGCGAAGGAGUGAUCGAGGUGGGGGGGCGCCGCGGGAGCGGGGGGCCGUGUCCAGCGGAGUUAGCGGCGGAGAAUGUGAGCCGAGGCGCGAGCCAUGCUGUCAGCGACGGCGGGCGGCUCAGGGCUCCUCCACGACUCCUCUCCUCAGCAGCCGGGCGCCCGCGUCGCUGCCACCGCCGGAAGACAGACGUCCCCCAAAACCCCUCGCCUGGCUCGGACCCACGGAGCCGGCAGCCCAGCACUCCGAUGGGAGCUUGCCUGAUUGUCAACCCAUCGGCCUGGACCCCAGAGCCCACCCAGCUGAGCGUGUGCAGAGGGCCCCGAGUGCGGGGCGACGCUCAGGCCGUUGCAGAGACCACCCUGGAGAUGCUGAUGAAGACAGGCCUUUCCUGCUGAGCCCAGCCUAUCUUCGCAGCCUGCUCAGGCGCUGUCCACGCCCCGAGGCCUGGGCUCAGGCCGAAGUUGCUCCACAGCACCCCCAGCUGACAGCCAGCGACUGGCAGAGCCCCCAGGCACGGGGGCCCUCUCUCUUCCAGAGAUCUCCAGUGUGACAGCCCAGGCGGCAGAGCCGAGGGUCCUGGUCCCGGCUUCUCGCACCCUCAUGUCAGCCCCGGCCCCGCCCGGCGGCCUGCGGAGGACAAGGUCAGGAUGCGUGUGAAGCCCCAGGGCCUGGUGGUGACUUCCAGUGCCGUGUGCAGCUCUCCUGACUACCUCCGGGAACCCAAGUACUACCCCGGCGGCCCCCCCACCCCCCG
This 789-nucleotide long non-coding RNA is filed under the name Pan troglodytes (chimpanzee). RNAcentral describes it as "long non-coding RNA NONPTRT000919". Lineage: Eukaryota; Metazoa; Chordata; Mammalia; Primates; Hominidae. The record is from RNAcentral.